UGGGGAAUAUUGCACAAUGGGCGCAAGCCUGAUGCAGCGACGCCGCGUGGGGGAUGACGGCCUUCGGGUUGUAAACUCCUUUCGCCAGGGACGAAGCGUUUUGUGACGGUACCUGGAGAAGAAGCACCGGCUAACUACGUGCCAGCAGCCGCGGUAAUACGUAGGGUGCAAGCGUUGUCCGGAAUUACUGGGCGUAAAGAGCUCGUAGGUGGUUUGUCGCGUCGUCUGUGAAAUUCCACAGCUUAACUGUGGGCGUGCAGGCGAUACGGGCAUAACUUGAGUACUGUAGGGGUAACUGGAAUUCCUGGUGUAGCGGUGAAAUGCGCAGAUAUCAGGAGGAACACCAAUGGCGAAGGCAGGUUACUGGGCAGUUACUGACGCUGAGGAGCGAAAGCAUGGGUAGCAAACAGGAUUAGAUACCCUGGUAGUCCAUGCCGUAAACGGUGGGCGCUAGGUGUAGGGGCCUUUUGGGGUUUCUGUGCCGUAGCUAACGCAUUAAGCGCCCCGCCUGGGGAGUACGGCCGCAAGGCUA
Molecule: ribosomal RNA, 532 nt
Filed under: uncultured bacterium
Lineage: Bacteria
Description: bacterial SSU rRNA
Rfam family: Bacterial small subunit ribosomal RNA
Source: RNAcentral